UACGGGGGGUGCAAGCGUUGUUCGGAAUUACUGGGCGUAAAGGGCUCGUAGGUGGCCAACUAAGUCAGACGUGAAAUCCCCAGGCUCAACUUGGGAACUGCGUCUGAUACUGGAUGGCUUGAAUUCGGGAGAGGGAUGCAGAAUUCCAGGUGUAGCGGUGAAAUGCGUAGAUAUCUGGAGGAAUACCGGUGGCGAAGGCGGCAUCCUGGACCAAUACUGACACUGAGGAGCGAAAGCCAGGGGAGCAAACGGG
This 253-nucleotide ribosomal RNA is filed under the name uncultured bacterium. Its description in RNAcentral is "partial 16S ribosomal RNA". It matches the Rfam family "Bacterial small subunit ribosomal RNA", at positions 524 to 776 of the family's 1533-position model. The record is from RNAcentral.